GUGCAAAGGUUUCCUCAGGCCAGACGGACAUUGGUCCUCGAGUGCAAAGGCAGAAGGGAGCUUGACUGUAAGACUCACCCGUCGAGCAGAGACGAAAGUCGGCCUUAGUGAUCCGACGGUGCCGAGUGGAAGGGCCGUCGCUCAAC
Oryza barthii is the source of this 146-nucleotide non-coding RNA. NCBI's taxonomy places the organism in Eukaryota, Viridiplantae, Streptophyta, Magnoliopsida, Poales, Poaceae. The record is from Rfam.